GUCCCCGCUGUAAACACUGCGAGCUAUGUGUUGCAUGCUCUUCGUGAACAUGCAGUGCCGGAGCGAAGGCGUUAAGCUCGCCACCUGGGAAGUACGGCCGCAAGACUGAAACUUAAAGGAAUUGGCGGGGGCGCGCUACCAGGGGUGACGCGUGCGGUUUAAUUUAACUCUACCCAGAAAAUCUCACCAGCAGCGACGGCAGAAUGAAGGUCAGAUUGAAGGUCUUACCUAACAAGCCGAGAGAUGUUGCAUGGCCGCCGU
This 261-nucleotide ribosomal RNA is filed under the name uncultured bacterium. RNAcentral's name for it is "partial 16S ribosomal RNA". It matches the Rfam family "Archaeal small subunit ribosomal RNA", at positions 744 to 1004 of the family's 1478-position model. The record is from RNAcentral.